AGAGUUUGAUCCUGGCUCAGGAUGAACGCUGGCGGCGUGCCUAAUACAUGCAAGUCGAGCGAACAGAUAAGGAGCUUGCUCCUUUGAAGUUAGCGGCGGACGGGUGAGUAACACGUGGGUAACCUACCUAUAAGACUGGGAUAACUUCGGGAAACCGGAGCUAAUACCGGAUAACAUUUAGAACCGCAUGGUUCUAAAGUGAAAGAUGGUUUUGCUAUCACUUAUAGAUGGACCCGCGCCGUAUUAGCUAGUUGGUAAGGUAACGGCUUACCAAGGCGACGAUACGUAGCCGACCUGAGAGGGUGAUCGGCCACACUGGAACUGAGACACGGUUCAGACUCCUACGGGAGGCAGCAGUAGGGAAUCUUCCGCAAUGGGCGAAAGCCUGACGGAGCAACGCCGCGUGAGUGAUGAAGGGUUUCGGCUCGUAAAACUCUGUUAUUAGGGAAGAACAAAUGUGUAAGUAACUGUGCACAUCUUGACGGUACCUAAUCAGAAAGCCACGGCUAACUACGUG
This 517-nucleotide ribosomal RNA is filed under the name uncultured Staphylococcus sp. RNAcentral's name for it is "bacterial SSU rRNA". It matches the Rfam family "Bacterial small subunit ribosomal RNA", at positions 8 to 507 of the family's 1533-position model. Lineage: Bacteria; Bacillati; Bacillota; Bacilli; Caryophanales; Staphylococcaceae. The record is from RNAcentral.